AUUGAACGCUGGCGGCAUGCUUUACACAUGCAAGUCGAACGGUAACAGGGAGCUUGCUCCGCUGACGAGUGGCGAACGGGUGAGUAAUGCAUCGGAACGUACCCAGUCGUGGGGGAUAACGUAGCGAAAGUUACGCUAAUACCGCAUACGUCCUGAGGGAGAAAGCGGGGGACCGUAAGGCCUCGCGCGAUUGGAGCGGCCGAUGUCGGAUUAGCUAGUUGGUAGGGUAAAGGCCUACCAAGGCGACGAUCCGUAGCGGGUCUGAGAGGAUGAUCCGCCACACUGGGACUGAGACACGGCCCAGACUCCUACGGGAGGCAGCAGUGGGGAAUUUUGGACAAUGGGCGAAAGCCUGAUCCAGCCAUGCCGCGUGAGUGAAGAAGGCCUCGGUUGUAAGCUCUUCUAGCCGGAAGAAAUACGCGCAGGAUAAUACUCUGCGUGGAUGACGGUACCGGAAGAAGAAGACACCGGCUAACUACGUGCCAGCAGCCGCGGUAAA
Molecule: ribosomal RNA, 499 nt
Filed under: uncultured bacterium
Lineage: Bacteria
Description: bacterial SSU rRNA
Rfam family: Bacterial small subunit ribosomal RNA
Source: RNAcentral